This 19-nucleotide transfer RNA is filed under the name Scincopus fasciatus. RNAcentral's name for it is "partial tRNA-Met". Lineage: Eukaryota; Metazoa; Chordata; Lepidosauria; Squamata; Scincidae. The record is from RNAcentral.
CUAGUAGAGUCAGCUAAUU